AUUGAACGCUGGCGGCAUGCCUUACACAUGCAAGUCGAACGGUAACAGGUCUUCGGAUGCUGACGAGUGGCGAACGGGUGAGUAAUACAUCGGAACGUGCCUAGUAGUGGGGGAUAACUACUCGAAAGAGUGGCUAAUACCGCAUGAGAUCUACGGAUGAAAGCAGGGGAUCGCAAGACCUUGUGCUACUAGAGCGGCCGAUGGCAGAUUAGGUAGUUGGUGGGAUAAAAGCUUACCAAGCCGACGAUCUGUAGCUGGUCUGAGAGGACGAUCAGCCACACUGGGACUGAGACACGGCCCAGACUCCUACGGGAGGCAGCAGUGGGGAAUUUUGGACAAUGGGCGCAAGCCUGAUCCAGCAAUGCCGCGUGCAGGAAGAAGGCCUUCGGGUUGUAAACUGCUUUUGUACGAGACGAAAAGACUCGCUCUAAUACAGUGGGUACAUGACGGUAUCGUAAGAAUAAGCACCGGCUAACUACGUGCCAGCAGCCGCGGUAA
RNAcentral lists this ribosomal RNA (498 nucleotides) under uncultured bacterium. RNAcentral's name for it is "partial 16S ribosomal RNA". It matches the Rfam family "Bacterial small subunit ribosomal RNA", at positions 30 to 523 of the family's 1533-position model. The record is from RNAcentral.